This 253-nucleotide ribosomal RNA is filed under the name uncultured bacterium. RNAcentral describes it as "partial 16S ribosomal RNA". It matches the Rfam family "Bacterial small subunit ribosomal RNA", at positions 524 to 776 of the family's 1533-position model. The record is from RNAcentral.
UACGGAGGGAGCUAGCGUUGUUCGGAAUUACUGGGCGUAAAGCGCACGUAGGCGGCUUUGUAAGUUAGAGGUGAAAGCCCGGGGCUCAACUCCGGAACUGCCUUUAAGACUGCAUCGCUUGAAUCCAGGAGAGGUCAGUGGAAUUCCGAGUGUAGAGGUGAAAUUCGUAGAUAUUCGGAAGAACACCAGUGGCGAAGGCGGCUGACUGGACAUGUAUUGACGCUGAGGUGCGAAAGCGUGGGGAGCAAACAGG